CCUACGGGUGGCUGCAGUGGGGAAUAUUGCACAAUGGGGGAAACCCUGAUGCAGCGACGCCGCGUGAGUGAAGAAGUAAUUCGUUAUGUAAAGCUCUAUCAGCAGGGAAGAAAAUGACGGUACCUGAGUAAGAAGCCCCGGCUAACUACGUGCCAGCAGCCGCGGUAAUACGUAGGGGGCAAGCGUUAUCCGGAUUUACUGGGUGAAAAGGGAGCGUAGACGGCAGUGCAAGUCUGGAGUGAAAGGCGGGGGCUCAACCCCCGGACUGCUCUGAAAACGGUACGGCUGGGGUGCAGGAGGGGAAAGUGAAUUUCCUGGUGUGCCGGUAAACUGCG
Molecule: ribosomal RNA, 335 nt
Filed under: uncultured bacterium
Lineage: Bacteria
Description: partial 16S ribosomal RNA
Rfam family: Bacterial small subunit ribosomal RNA
Source: RNAcentral